This 110-nucleotide non-coding RNA is filed under the name Bacillus cereus. Its description in RNAcentral is "SAM-I sequence". It matches the Rfam family "SAM riboswitch aptamer (S box leader)". From Rfam's summary of the family: The SAM riboswitch is found upstream of a number of genes which code for proteins involved in methionine or cysteine biosynthesis in Gram-positive bacteria. The record is from RNAcentral. Lineage: Bacteria; Bacillati; Bacillota; Bacilli; Caryophanales; Bacillaceae.
UACUUAUCCAGAGAGGUAGAGGGACUGGCCCUAUGAAACCUCAGCAGCGGGUUCUGAAAGAAGAAUACCGUGCUAAUUCCAGCAAGCAACCAAAGCUUGAAAGAUAAGUG